This 141-nucleotide ribosomal RNA is filed under the name Triticum aestivum (bread wheat). Its description in RNAcentral is "partial small subunit ribosomal RNA". Lineage: Eukaryota; Viridiplantae; Streptophyta; Magnoliopsida; Poales; Poaceae. The record is from RNAcentral.
AUGAAAUCGAAAAUAUUCCGAGAUGGCAAAUAUUCGGAGAUGAAUAUGAAAACACCUCUCUGGAUCCUCGAAUUGAAAGAGAGAUUGAGAGGGACUCUUGGUUGCGAGGCCAGGGGGACCUACUAUCUACUUAACCGCUAG